This 429-nucleotide ribosomal RNA is filed under the name Chloroflexota bacterium. Its description in RNAcentral is "Chloroflexi bacterium partial 16S ribosomal RNA". It matches the Rfam family "Bacterial small subunit ribosomal RNA", at positions 355 to 776 of the family's 1533-position model. The record is from RNAcentral. Lineage: Bacteria; Bacillati; Chloroflexota.
UGGGGAAUAUUGCACAAUGGGCGCAAGCCUGAUGCAGCCAUGCCGCGUGUAUGAAGAAGGCCUUCGGGUUGUAAAGUACUUUCGGUCGGGAGGAAGGUGGUAAGGUUAAUAACCUUAUCAAUUGACGUUACCGACAGAAGAAGCACCGGCUAACUCCGUGCCAGCAGCCGCGGUAAUACGGAGGGUGCAAGCGUUAAUCGGAAUUACUGGGCGUAAAGCGCACGCAGGCGGUUUGUUAAGUCAGAUGUGAAAUCCCCGGGCUCAACCUGGGAACUGCAUCUGAUACUGGCAAGCUUGAGUCUCGUAGAGGGGGGUAGAAUUCCAGGUGUAGCGGUGAAAUGCGUAGAGAUCUGGAGGAAUACCGGUGGCGAAGGCGGCCCCCUGGACGAAGACUGACGCUCAGGUGCGAAAGCGUGGGGAGCAAACAGG